Molecule: ribosomal RNA, 281 nt
Filed under: Escherichia coli
Lineage: Bacteria; Pseudomonadati; Pseudomonadota; Gammaproteobacteria; Enterobacterales; Enterobacteriaceae
Description: partial 16S ribosomal RNA
Rfam family: Bacterial small subunit ribosomal RNA
Source: RNAcentral
AAAUUGAAGAGUUUGAUCAUGGCUCAGAUUGAACGCUGGCGGCAGGCCUAACACAUGCAAGUCGAACGGUAACAGGAAGCAGCUUGCUGCUUCGCUGACGAGUGGCGGACGGGUGAGUAAUGUCUGGGAAACUGCCUGAUGGAGGGGGAUAACUACUGGAAACGGUAGCUAAUACCGCAUAACGUCGCAAGACCAAAGAGGGGGACCUUCGGGCCUCUUGCCAUCGGAUGUGCCCAGAUGGGAUUAGCUAGUAGGUGGGGUAACGGCUCACCUAGGCGACG